This 252-nucleotide ribosomal RNA is filed under the name uncultured bacterium. Its description in RNAcentral is "partial 16S ribosomal RNA". It matches the Rfam family "Bacterial small subunit ribosomal RNA", at positions 524 to 776 of the family's 1533-position model. The record is from RNAcentral.
UACGUAGGGGGCAAGCGUUGUCCGGAUUUAUUGGGCGUAAAGCGCGCGCAGGCGGUCAUUUAAGUCUGGUGUUUAAACCCGAGGCUCAACCUCGGGUCGCAUUGGAAACUGGGUGACUUGAGUGCAGAAGAGGAGAGUGGAAUUCCACGUGUAGCGGUGAAAUGCGUAGAGAUGUGGAGGAACACCAGUGGCGAAGGCGACUCUCUGGGCUGUAACUGACGCUGAGGCGCGAAAGCGUGGGGAGCAAACGGG